UUUAGGACACGUGGUGUGGCGGGGUUUGGGAGAUUCUUGACCCUGGGUUGGGCCCUGUGGCCCAGAUCCAGCGAGACCGCUGGGAAGCUGUCGCUAUGCUGGAACUGUCUCUUCCCUUUCAUUUGAAUUUCAUCCGCCUCUUAUUUUAGUCAUCCUUGAUACACUUCAGCUUCCCUUUCUCCAGUUCUCCCCCGUGCCCAUGUUUCCCUUCCUACGUUACUGGUUGCAUCUCUUCCCUUCCUUUCCCCACAUUCACAGGGAAGUUGGUUCUCAGUUGCCCUGUUUACUAGCAUUAAUAUGCCCAGCCUCUGCUACUCGGCCCUUUAGCAAAAUGCUGAAAAUGCCUAUUCCAGAGGUAUUUCGAGCUUACCACAUCCAAACUCCAUGAAGACAAAGGUCAUAUUCAUCUUGCGAACUGUUGGCAUCCUCAGCACCUGGCACGUAAUAGCAUCCCAUAGGGAGUAGAAGGUCUUUGCUCUUCCAUGAUAUAACCUAAGCAACUCUCCACCCCUGUAGAAGAUUGCCUCUGACUGAGUGGAACAACCUGCAGAUCUUGUUAAAAUACAGAUUCUGGUAAAGCUGGUCUGAGGUGGGACCGAGGUUCUCCAUUUCUAACAAACUUCCAGGUGAUGUAACCCUGCUGGAUCCCCUUUGAGCAGCAAGGCUGUAAAUUGAAGACAAGGUCUCUUGUUUUGAGCCCCAGAGAAUAUGGCAGGGGAAAACAGCAGCAUUCUUUCCCAACAAGGCCCAGUAAAGCCCACAUGUUGAGCUGCCUGGAGAGUUUGCAUUUUCUGACGGCAAGAUGGAAGCUCUUUGGAGUCCAUUUUGAGGCCAUUCUGGCCCAAACCUCACUGAAAAGCAUGAUUGUUCAGAAACUGCAGCACAGUUGUGAAUGGCGCCAGAUUCUUAUUGUACACACCUGCACUCUUAAGGUGGUGGAGAGGUGGGUGGUGGUAGCCCUACUCAGUUAUGUGUUAAUUCUGUACAAAGCAAAAACUGUAAUUGAGAUAAAAAUCAGAAACAUAAAUCCCAUCUUACAACAUUUGUGACAUCCCAUAUAAUUAAUGGACAAAAGUGAAAACUUAAAUUGCACUCGUAAAAUGAAAAUAGUUAUUGAAAUAAACUUUACUCCCCCCAUUUAA
This is a long non-coding RNA of Balaenoptera ricei (Rice's whale), 1142 nucleotides long. RefSeq lists it as uncharacterized. The record is from RefSeq and is a predicted model, not a curated record. The transcript has 4 exons. Lineage: Eukaryota; Metazoa; Chordata; Mammalia; Artiodactyla; Balaenopteridae.